RNAcentral lists this ribosomal RNA (479 nucleotides) under uncultured bacterium. RNAcentral describes it as "partial 16S ribosomal RNA". It matches the Rfam family "Bacterial small subunit ribosomal RNA", at positions 28 to 523 of the family's 1533-position model. The record is from RNAcentral.
AACGAACGCUGGCGGCGUGCUUAACACAUGCAAGUCGAACGGUACUUCUCUUCGGGGGUACACGAGUGUCGAACGGGUGAGUAACACGUGGGUGAUCUGCCCUGCACUUCGGGAUAAGUUGGGGAAACUGGGUCUAAUACCGGAUAGGACCACUGCCUGCAUGGGUGGUGGUGGAAAGCUUUUGCGGUGUGGGAUGGGCCCGCGGCCUAUCAGCUUGUUGGUGGGGUGAUGGCCUACCAAGGCGACGACGGGUAGCCGGCCUGAGAGGGUGACCGGCCACACUGGGACUGAGAUACGGCCCAGACUCCUACGGGAGGCAGCAGUGGGGAAUAUUGCACAAUGGGCGCAAGCCUGAUGCAGCGACGCCGCGUGAGGGAUGACGGCCUUCGGGUUGUAAACCUCUUUCAGCACCGACGAAGCGCAAGUGACGGUAGGUGCAGAAGAAGGACCGGCCAACUACGUGCCAGCCGCCGCGGUAA